UCCCAGGUUGGAAUUCCCUGGAUCCAGGACAAGGAAUGUCCUGGUUGGUCCCAUCAUGGAAUUCCCUGGUUGGAUCCACCUUGGGAUUCCUGGGUUGGAUCCAUCAUGGAAUUCCCUGGCUGGUCCCACCUUGGGAUUCCCUGGUUGGAAUUCCCUGAAUCCACCACAAGGAAGGUCCCGGUUGGUUCCAUCAUGGAAUUCCCUGGUUGGGUCCACCUUGGGAUUCCUGGGUUGGAAUUCCCUGGAUCCACCACAAGGAAGGUCCUGGUUGGUUCCAUCAUGGAAUUCCCUGGUUGGGUCCACCUUGGGAUUCCUGGGUUGGAUCCAGCUUGGAAUUCCCGACUCACCCCUCCCCCAGCAUUCCCAAACUCCCCCUCCCAUCCCACUUCCCUCGGGAAGCUCCAACCCGGAAUUUCCAACCCCUCCACCAACCCUUUCCCCCUCCCAUCCCCACGGAACCUCCGAAUCCCGGGAUUUUGGGAUGAGAAUCCCCAAAAAAACCCACUUGGGGGAGCCGGGCGGGAAAAUCCAACCGGAUCCGGAGCGGGAACCGCGGCCUUUUCCCAGGAUUCCGGACCUGUGUCCUGGCCAACCACUGGCUGGACGACGGCGAGGGCCGGAUCCGCCGGGCCCGGCUCCUGCGAUCUGCUUCGCGGAGGCACUUCCACCUGGUGCUGGAAUCCUGCCGGAUCGGGACAGGGCAGCCGGAUCCCGGCAUCUACUCCCGCGCCCUGGAAGAGCUGCGGGCGGAGCCGCGGGAGGCCAUCCUGCUGGAUGAGGUCCCGGAGAACCUGGAGCCGGCGCGGGAGUUGGGAAUGGCCACGAUCCUGGUCCGGGACACGGACACGGCGCUCGCGGAGCUGGAGGAGCUCUCGGGGCUCCAGGUGGGGAUUCCUGGGAUUCCUGAGGGAGCUGGAGUGUCCAGGUGGGGAUUCCCAGGAUUUCUGACAUUCCCUGGAUUGGGGUGUCCAGGUGGGGAUUCCUGGGGUUCCCAGGAUUCCUGAGAGAACUGGAGUGUCCAAGUGGGGAUUCCCAGGAUUUCUGAGGGAGCUGGAGAAGCUCUCAGGGAUCC
Molecule: long non-coding RNA, 1072 nt
Filed under: Manacus vitellinus (golden-collared manakin)
Lineage: Eukaryota; Metazoa; Chordata; Aves; Passeriformes; Pipridae
Description: lncRNA (ENSMVIG00005004592.1)
Source: RNAcentral